RNAcentral lists this ribosomal RNA (253 nucleotides) under uncultured bacterium. Its description in RNAcentral is "partial 16S ribosomal RNA". It matches the Rfam family "Bacterial small subunit ribosomal RNA", at positions 524 to 776 of the family's 1533-position model. The record is from RNAcentral.
UACGUAGGGGGCGAGCGUUGUCCGGAAUUAUUGGGCGUAAAGCGCGCGCAGGCGGUUCCUUAAGUCUGAUGUGAAAGCCCACGGCUCAACCGUGGAGGGGCAUUGGAAACUGGGGGACUUGAGUGCAGAAGAGGAGAGCGGAAUUCCACGUGUAGCGGUGAAAUGCGUAGAGAUGUGGAGGAACACCAGUGGCGAAGGCGGCUCUCUGGUCUGUAACUGACGCUGAGGCGCGAAAGCGUGGGGAGCAAACAGG